This 279-nucleotide ribosomal RNA is filed under the name uncultured bacterium. RNAcentral describes it as "partial 16S ribosomal RNA". It matches the Rfam family "Bacterial small subunit ribosomal RNA", at positions 506 to 784 of the family's 1533-position model. The record is from RNAcentral.
UGCCAGCAGCCGCGGUAAUACGGAGGGGGUUAGCGUUGUUCGGAAUUACUGGGCGUAAAGCGCACGUAGGUGGAUUAGUCAGUCAGAGGUGAAAUCCCAGGGCUCAACCCUGGAACUGCCUUUGAUACUGCUAGUCUAGAGUUCGAGAGAGGUGAGUGGAAUUCCAAGUGUAGAGGUGAAAUUCGUAGAUAUUUGGAGGAACACCAGUGGCGAAGGCGGCUCACUGGCUCGAUACUGACACUGAGGUGCGAAAGCGUGGGGAGCAAACAGGAUUAGAUA